Molecule: ribosomal RNA, 453 nt
Filed under: uncultured bacterium
Lineage: Bacteria
Description: bacterial SSU rRNA
Rfam family: Bacterial small subunit ribosomal RNA
Source: RNAcentral
UACGGGAGGCAGCAGUGGGGAAUAUUGCACAAUGGGCGCAAGCCUGAUGCAGCCAUGCCGCGUGUAUGAAAAAGGCCUUCGGGUUGUAAAGUACUUUCAGUCGUGAGGAAGGUGUUAAGGUUAAUAACCUUAGCAAUUGACGUUAGCGACAGAAGAAGCACCGGCUAACUCCGUGCCAGCAGCCGCGGUAAUACGGAGGGUGCGAGCGUUAAUCGGAAUUACUGGGCGUAAAGGGCACGCAGGCGGUUAAUUAAGUUGGAUGUGAAAUCCCCGGGCUUAACCUGGGAAUGGCACUCAAGACUGGUUAGCUAGAGUCUUGUAGAGGGGGUAGAAUUCCAUGUGUAGCGGUGAAAUGCGUAGAGAUGUGGAGGAAUACCGGUGGCGAAGGCGGCCCCUGGACAAAGACUGACGCUCAUGUGCGAAAGCGUGGGGAGCAAACAGGGAUUAGAUACC